AUACGUAGGGGGCGAGCGUUACCCGGAAUCACUGGGCGUAAAGGGGGCGUAGGCGGCCUGGUGUGUCCGGUGUGAAAUCCCACGGCUCAACCGUGGGGCUGCGCCGGAAACUACCAGGCUUGAGGGCGCUAGAGGGAGACGGAACUGCCGGUGUAGGGGUGAAAUCCGUAGAUAUCGGCAGGAACGCCGGUGGGGAAGCCGGUCUCCUGGGGCGUCCCUGACGCUGAGGCCCGAAAGCCAGGGGAGCAAACCGGAUUAGAAACCCCAGUAGUCC
Molecule: ribosomal RNA, 274 nt
Filed under: uncultured bacterium
Lineage: Bacteria
Description: partial 16S ribosomal RNA
Rfam family: Bacterial small subunit ribosomal RNA
Source: RNAcentral